RNAcentral lists this ribosomal RNA (769 nucleotides) under uncultured Actinomycetes bacterium. RNAcentral's name for it is "bacterial SSU rRNA". It matches the Rfam family "Bacterial small subunit ribosomal RNA", at positions 8 to 795 of the family's 1533-position model. The record is from RNAcentral. Lineage: Bacteria; Bacillati; Actinomycetota; Actinomycetes.
AGAGUUUGAUCCUGGCUCAGGAUGAACGCUGGCGGCGUGCUUAACACAUGCAAGUCGAACGAGGUCCAACCUUCGGGUGAAGACCGAGUGGCGAACGGGUGAGUAACACGUGGGGAACCUGCCCUUCUCUCUGGGAUAACCUCGGGAAACCGAAGCUAAUACCGGAUACUCCUUGCGGACCGCAUGGUCUGCUCGGGAAAGCUCCGGCGGAGAAGGAUGGCCCCGCGGCCCAUUAGCUUGUUGGUGGGGUAACGGCCCACCAAGGCGACGAUGGGUAGCCGAGCUGAGAGGCUGAUCGGCCACACUGGGACUGAGACACGGCCCAGACUCCUACGGGAGGCAGCAGUGGGGAAUCUUGCGCAAUGGGCGAAAGCCUGACGCAGCAACGCCGCGUGCGGGAUGAAGGCUCUCGGGUCGUAAACCGCUUUCAGCAGGGAUGAAAAUGACAGUACCUGCAGAAGAAGCCCCGGCUAAAUACGUGCCAGCAGCCGCGGUAAUACGUAUGGGGCAAGCGUUAUCCGGAUUCAUUGGGCGUAAAGCGCGCGUAGGCGGCUUGUUAAGUCAGGCGUGAAAUCCGGGGGCUCAACCCGCGGCUUGCGUCUGAAACUGGCAGGCUUGAGUCUGGUAGAGGAAAGUGGAAUUCCUGGUGUAGCGGUGAAAUGCGCAGAUAUCAGGAGGAACACCAGUGGCGAAGGCGGCUUUCUGGGCCACGACUGACGCUGAGGCGCGAAAGCUAGGGGAGCGAACAGGAUUAGAUACCCUGGUAGUC